GAUGAAGAACGCAGCGAAAUGCGAUAAGUAAUGUGAAUUGCAGAAUUCAGUGAAUCAUCGAAUCUUUGAACGCACAUUGCGCCCUCUGGUAUUCCGGGGGGCAUGCCUGUUCGAGCGUCAUUAUAACCACUCAAGCUCUCGCUUGGUAUUGGGGUUCGCGGUUCCGCGGCCCCUAAAAUCAGUGGCGGUGCCUGUCGGCUCUACGAGUAGUAAUACUCCUCGCGAUUGAGUCCGGUAGGUCUACUUGCCAGCAACCCCCAAUUUUUACAGGUUGACCUCGGAUCAGGUAGGGAUACCCGCUGAACUUAAGCAUAUCAAUAAGCGGAGGA
RNAcentral lists this unclassified non-coding RNA (329 nucleotides) under soil metagenome. RNAcentral's name for it is "partial contains 5.8S ribosomal RNA, internal transcribed spacer 2, and large subunit ribosomal RNA". The stretch from base 1 to 120 matches the Rfam family "5.8S ribosomal RNA", at positions 35 to 154 of the family's 154-position model. The record is from RNAcentral.